RNAcentral lists this long non-coding RNA (1738 nucleotides) under Mytilus galloprovincialis (Mediterranean mussel). Lineage: Eukaryota; Metazoa; Mollusca; Bivalvia; Mytilida; Mytilidae. The record is from RNAcentral.
UUACAGAAUGAAAAUGUGAACAUUUUCCCCAGCGGAAUAAUUGUCAGCCCAUUCUCACCUUGGCUGGCAGCAAGUCCGGACAGAAAAUUGUACAAUCCAGCCAUGUUGCCACCAUACGGACUGCUUGAGAUCAAAUGUCCAGUGAAGCCGCUGGUUGAUUGUUUGUACUUAAGAAAGGAUGAUGAUGGUAACCUGACAUUAAAGAAAAAUCAUAAUUAUUAUCAACAAGUGAUUAUGCAACUUGCUGUUACUGGUCUUAAGUGGUGCCAUUUUUAUGUUUGGAGGGCUGAUGAGCAACAUCUUGAGACCAUAGAAUUUGAUGAUGAAGAGUGGGGAAGAAUGAAGACAAAACUUGACUUAUUUUAUUUUAAUUAUUUUUUGGAUUAAUCAGUAUUAUAAAUAUUCCUUAGGCCAAAUAAAAUAAUAUGUGUGUUUCCUUUUACAUAUUUGAAAAAAUUGGGUAGGAAGCUAGGGAAUUAUUUUUAUUUUACACUUAAUUUCUACAUUUAGUCCGAGAGAGAUUGCGACUUUAUCAGUGCUUAUAAAAAAAUGUGAAAAAUAAACUUUUAAGAUACACUAGUAUCAUGAUUAUUUAGCUUAAAAUUUCAGGUAGGUUGGGAAAUAUGAAACACACCUAUUGUUUUAUUUGGCCUUUCUGUGGUACCUAGACUAAAAUAAAUUCCUGCUCCUUUAAUUUUUAUUAAAUUUGACAAAAUAUUUACUUUGACCCUUAACUUUGACAAAAUUAUAAACAUUAAUAAAAAAUUUACAGCUAAUUUCCUACUGCAUGUAGAGCAAGACUUGGGUUAGCUUGCUUGCUUUGUUUGUAGUUGUAUAUUGUACAAUUGUAAUUGGGAUAACAUUCAAUCAAAUUUAGGUAUAAUAUAUAUAUACAGGUUUAACUAUGCCUAUAUAUUGUUUGAAGAAGUCAAUGUUAAUUACAAAGCGUGAAUUAAUGUUUAUACAAACAGAGCAAGCAAGCCUUCCAAAGUUUUACUCUACAAGCAUUAGGAAAUUAGCUGUAACCAAACACUUUCUUUGCAAAUUUACCUUGAAUAAAACAUUACAAUGUAGUUUGACAAACAUUAAUUUUGAUCAUUGAGAAGCUUUCUAUUUCCCUAAAAAUACAAUGUGAUUAUCUUGGCAUUAAAAAAUAAAGACCUAACACUUGUGAUACAUGUAUAAGUAUCUAUGAUGUUUCUGUUCAAUCACUUUAUCUAUUGACAAAUCUAAUAUUCACUGCCACUGCUUUACAAGUGGACCUCUGAAAAGUGUCAGAAUAUUAGCAACAGUCCAAAUUUGAUUGAUUGAACCAAUCAUGCUCAGAGGUAUAGGUCUGUCAAAAAGGUGAAAUUCUUUUACUCUUCUAAUGUGCCUUUCAACAUGUAUCCUAAGGCGAGCAAUAGUUUGAGUUUCCUCUACCUUCUGCUUAGUGAACUGACCCUUAUUUAUAAGGAAUGGGGGUGUAUUGACAGUUAUGCCAGUUCCAGAUAAAACAUUAUUUAAUACAAAACCUUUAUCAGCCAUAAUGAAAUCACCUUCCUCUAAAAGUUCAACUAAACCACAAAGCUUUGUUAUCUCAACAUCAGACAUACUACCAGUAUACAAUGAAGAAAUAAAAAUAAGGGCACCAUGUGGUGCAAUACCAACAAGACUUUUAAAAGUAUGUGUACUCUUGUAAGUAGAAUAAAACUUAGAAUUGAGAGCCAAAGAUGAUGGUCUCUCAGUUGGUAUCUCA